RNAcentral lists this non-coding RNA (124 nucleotides) under Streptococcus hyointestinalis. Its description in RNAcentral is "FMN riboswitch (RFN element)". It matches the Rfam family "FMN riboswitch aptamer (RFN element)". From Rfam's summary of the family: The RFN element is a highly conserved domain that is found frequently in the 5'-untranslated regions of prokaryotic mRNAs that encode for flavin mononucleotide (FMN) biosynthesis and transport proteins. This element is a metabolite-dependent riboswitch that directly binds FMN in the absence of proteins. In Bacillus subtilis, the riboswitch most likely controls gene expression by causing premature transcription termination within the 5' untranslated region of the ribDEAHT operon and precluding access to the ribosome-binding site of ypaA mRNA. Lineage: Bacteria; Bacillati; Bacillota; Bacilli; Lactobacillales; Streptococcaceae. The record is from RNAcentral.
UGUCUUCAGGGCAGGGUGUGAUUCCCGACCGGCGGUGACACUUAUAUGAUGAGUGAAGUCCGCGAGCGCAAGCUGACGUGGUGAGAUUCCACGACCGACAGUAUAGUCUGGAUGGGAGAAGACA